RNAcentral lists this ribosomal RNA (253 nucleotides) under uncultured bacterium. RNAcentral describes it as "partial 16S ribosomal RNA". It matches the Rfam family "Bacterial small subunit ribosomal RNA", at positions 524 to 776 of the family's 1533-position model. The record is from RNAcentral.
UACGUAUGGUGCAAGCGUUAUCCGGAUUUACUGGGUGUAAAGGGAGCGCAGGCGGCACGGCAAGCCUGAUGUGAAAGCCCGCGGCCCAACCGCGGGACUGCAUUGGGAACUACCGGGCUGGAGUGCCGAAGAGGUAGGCGGAAUUCCUAGUGUAGCGGUGAAAUGCGUAGAUAUUAGGAGGAACACCAGUGGCGAAGGCGGCCUACUGGACGGUGACUGACGCUGAGGCUCGAAAGCGUGGGGAGCAAACAGG